Molecule: ribosomal RNA, 461 nt
Filed under: uncultured bacterium
Lineage: Bacteria
Description: partial 16S ribosomal RNA
Rfam family: Bacterial small subunit ribosomal RNA
Source: RNAcentral
CCUACGGGUGGCAGCAGUGAGGAAUAUUGGUCAAUGGGCGGGAGCCUGAACCAGCCAAGUCGCGUGAGGGAAGACGGUCCUAUGGAUUGUAAACCUCUUUAGCCGGGGAGCAAUGCCGGGCACGUGUGCCCGCAGGGAGAGUACCCGCAGAAUAAGCAUCGGCUAACUCCGUGCCAGCAGCCGCGGUAAUACGGAGGAUGCGAGCGUUAUCCGGAUUUAUUGGGUUUAAAGGGUGCGUAGGUGGGUUGUUAAGUCAGUUGUGAAAGUUUGGGGCUCAACCGUAAAAUUGCAAUUGAUACUGGCAGUCUUGAGUACGGUUGAGGUAGGCGGAAUUCGUGGUGUAGCGGUGAAAUGCUUAGAUAUCACGAAGAACUCCGAUUGCGAAGGCAGCUUACUAAACUGCCACUGACGUUGAUGCUCGAAAGUGUGGGUAUCGAACAGGAUUAGAUACCCGGGUAGUC